GGAGAGAUGGCCGAGUGGACGAAGGCGCUUGACUCGAAAUCAAGUGACCCGGUGACGGGUCCGGGGGUUCGAAUCCCUCUCUCUCCGCCA
Molecule: transfer RNA, 90 nt
Filed under: Deltaproteobacteria bacterium
Lineage: Bacteria; Pseudomonadati; Myxococcota; Myxococcia
Description: tRNA-Ser
Rfam family: tRNA
About the family: Transfer RNA (tRNA) molecules are approximately 80 nucleotides in length. Their secondary structure includes four short double-helical elements and three loops (D, anti-codon, and T loops). Further hydrogen bonds mediate the characteristic L-shaped molecular structure. tRNAs have two regions of fundamental functional importance: the anti-codon, which is responsible for specific mRNA codon recognition, and the 3' end, to which the tRNAs corresponding amino acid is attached (by aminoacyl-tRNA synthetases). tRNAs cope with the degeneracy of the genetic code in two manners: having more than one tRNA (with a specific anti-codon) for a particular amino acid; and 'wobble' base-pairing, i.e. permitting non-standard base-pairing at the 3rd anti-codon position.
Source: RNAcentral